This is a non-coding RNA of Labrus bergylta (ballan wrasse), 1057 nucleotides long. The record is from RefSeq and is a predicted model, not a curated record. NCBI's taxonomy places the organism in Eukaryota, Metazoa, Chordata, Actinopteri, Labriformes, Labridae.
AUCUGCUUGACAGAUGGGGCUGGGACUCCACAGCAGAGCUUGUUUUCCUUUGGUCUGGUGCGGAGGUGAAGCUGCAGAACUCGGGGUGUUCUAACAAAGCCUGGCCGGUGCUGGUCUGAGAGCAAAGUUAUCAGUGGAUGGCGACGAGGGAGGGUACUCUGGAGGGUAAAAGAAGUGCCAUAAAGGAGUGCAUUCAUCUAUUAAAUGAACUUUUAAGGGGCAGGACUACCUAUGGAAAAUCACUGAAGAGACAAUGAUUAUAUCAGCAAUAACAGCCCUGGAGAAGCACAGAAGAAGGACCCAAACUCUGUGUAGCCACUUUGUCAAAAUCUUCCACCUCCUAGCAUGCAGGGACAGAUGACCAAACUGCAUAUCAACAAUGAUUGAAUUCUGAGAUUCAUUUGCAGGAAAGGUGUUCAGCAAUGUUGUGAAAAUGUAUGUUUCUCAUAGAGAGCAUUGUGAAGAGAAAAAGUUGUGCCAAACCUUCAACCCUGACACACCUUGACGGCAUCCUGAAUUGAAGGGCUUCUAUCAAGACUUGUAUAGACUAACAAUCAAAGUAAACAUGUGCUUUGAAAGUCCAUGUUGAAGAGGUUAAAAACAAAGAUAAAGUGUUAGCUGUCCCAUAAAGUAUUGUUCACUGCAUAUUGUAAAGGAACUUGCUUUAUAAAAGCAGAUGGUGUAUUAGAGGGCUCAUUCAUACUCAGAAAUGCUGCCUUAAAAAUAAUUUUAAUAAUUUAAUGGAUAAGAUGACGAGCCCAAUAUCUCAAAUUUAUGUCACAUUUAUUAGCUUCUAUAAAUGCAAAGUUAAAGCACAUUUUAAAGAUUGACACCAUGUAAAACCAAGAUAAAGUGAAUCUGAAAACAAGGAGGUAUGGUAGCUGAUGUGUAAAUACAUUCAAUAUUUCAUUCUUGGUGGAUGGUGUCAGUUUGGUAACUUUCGUGACCUCAGACAAGACUAAUUUGGAAAAUGUUUGAACUCCAUAUGUAAAAGGUCCACUGCUACUGGAAAAUGUUGUUGUUUUUUUGUGUGUUAAUACACUAGUCCUGUUAUUAA